This 1492-nucleotide ribosomal RNA is filed under the name Clostridium botulinum. RNAcentral's name for it is "bacterial SSU rRNA". It matches the Rfam family "Bacterial small subunit ribosomal RNA". The record is from RNAcentral. RNAcentral also lists the same sequence under 1 other name. Lineage: Bacteria; Bacillati; Bacillota; Clostridia; Eubacteriales; Clostridiaceae.
AGAGUUUGAUCCUGGCUCAGGACGAACGCUGGCGGCGUGCUUAACACAUGCAAGUCGAGCGAUGAAGCUUCCUUCGGGAAGUGGAUUAGCGGCGGACGGGUGAGUAACACGUGGGUAACCUGCCUCAAAGUGGGGGAUAGCCUUCCGAAAGGAAGAUUAAUACCGCAUAAUAUAAGAGAAUCGCAUGAUUUUCUUAUCAAAGAUUUAUUGCUUUGAGAUGGACCCGCGGCGCAUUAGCUAGUUGGUAAGGUAACGGCUUACCAAGGCAACGAUGCGUAGCCGACCUGAGAGGGUGAUCGGCCACAUUGGAACUGAGACACGGUCCAGACUCCUACGGGAGGCAGCAGUGGGGAAUAUUGCGCAAUGGGGGAAACCCUGACGCAGCAACGCCGCGUGGGUGAUGAAGGUCUUCGGAUUGUAAAGCCCUGUUUUCUAGGACGAUAAUGACGGUACUAGAGGAGGAAGCCACGGCUAACUACGUGCCAGCAGCCGCGGUAAUACGUAGGUGGCGAGCGUUGUCCGGAUUUACUGGGCGUAAAGGGUGCGUAGGCGGAUGUUUAAGUGGGAUGUGAAAUCCCCGGGCUUAACCUGGGGGCUGCAUUCCAAACUGGAUAUCUAGAGUGCAGGAGAGGAAAGCGGAAUUCCUAGUGUAGCGGUGAAAUGCGUAGAGAUUAGGAAGAACACCAGUGGCGAAGGCGGCUUUCUGGACUGUAACUGACGCUGAGGCACGAAAGCGUGGGUAGCAAACAGGAUUAGAUACCCUGGUAGUCCACGCCGUAAACGAUGGAUACUAGGUGUAGGGGGUAUCAACUCCCCCUGUGCCGCAGUUAACACAAUAAGUAUCCCGCCUGGGGAGUACGGUCGCAAGAUUAAAACUCAAAGGAAUUGACGGGGGCCCGCACAAGCAGCGGAGCAUGUGGUUUAAUUCGAAGCAACGCGAAGAACCUUACCUGGACUUGACAUCCCUUGCAUAGCCUAGAGAUAGGUGAAGCCCUUCGGGGCAAGGAGACAGGUGGUGCAUGGUUGUCGUCAGCUCGUGUCGUGAGAUGUUAGGUUAAGUCCUGCAACGAGCGCAACCCUUGUUAUUAGUUGCUACCAUUAAGUUGAGCACUCUAAUGAGACUGCCUGGGUAACCAGGAGGAAGGUGGGGAUGACGUCAAAUCAUCAUGCCCCUUAUGUCCAGGGCUACACACGUGCUACAAUGGUAGGUACAAUAAGACGCAAGACCGUGAGGUGGAGCAAAACUUAUAAAACCUAUCUCAGUUCGGAUUGUAGGCUGCAACUCGCCUACAUGAAGCUGGAGUUGCUAGUAAUCGCGAAUCAGAAUGUCGCGGUGAAUACGUUCCCGGGCCUUGUACACACCGCCCGUCACACCAUGAGAGCUGGUAACACCCGAAGUCCGUGAGGUAACCGUAAGGAACCAGCGGCCGAAGGUGGGAUUAGUGAUUGGGGUGAAGUCGUAACAAGGUAGCCGUAGGAGAACCUGCGGCUG